UACGGAGGGUGCAAGCGUUAUCCGGAUUCACUGGGUUUAAAGGGUGUGUAGGCGGGUAUUUAAGUCAGUGGUGAAAUCUCCGGGCUCAACCCGGAAACUGCCAUUGAUACUAUUUAUCUUGAAUCUUGUUGAGGUAGGCGGAAUACAUCAUGUAGCGGUGAAAUGCUUAGAUAUGAUGUAGAACACCGAUUGCGAAGGCAGCUUACUAAACAAGCAUUGACGCUGAGGCACGAAAGCGUGGGGAUCAAGCAGG
Molecule: ribosomal RNA, 253 nt
Filed under: uncultured bacterium
Lineage: Bacteria
Description: partial 16S ribosomal RNA
Rfam family: Bacterial small subunit ribosomal RNA
Source: RNAcentral